RNAcentral lists this long non-coding RNA (1749 nucleotides) under Sinocyclocheilus grahami. Its description in RNAcentral is "lncRNA (ENSSGRG00000048011.1)". Lineage: Eukaryota; Metazoa; Chordata; Actinopteri; Cypriniformes; Cyprinidae. The record is from RNAcentral.
GAUGAUUGAAUGUUGUUUGCUUUGGUGUUACCACCCGAAAAUAAUUUUCUAGUUCCGCCCCUGAAAUGUACUCAGCCACUUCUGAGGUCAGGAGCUUUUGUUGUGGCUUGCAGGAUUAGUUAUUUAAAGCCUCAGUCUGUGGAAAUUUCCCAUGGCAUUCCGCGCACGCUCAAUCAAAGCUUUAAUAGCCUACGCAACCGAGGUAACGGAACAGAGGGGCAGACAGAGUCAGUACAGCAUCAGUAUCCACCGGGAAUGCGACCUGAUCACUGCCACAACACGAUCUCUAUAGGGGCCAGCACGAGCACACACUCAUGGAGCCAGAGUUUCAAACGCAGCAGAUCCAACAGAUCACUGGAUAAGACACGCGGCGCCACUUCGUUUCUCUACAGUCCUCUAGAUUGGGUAAACCAUGGGUAAGAAAGUCUUGCAGUGUUUUCCUUGGUACAAACGCUGUAAAGACCUGGGUAAAAGCAGGCUGUGCCCUCCUCCACCUGGUAAGUCUCCUUGUUUACCCAAUUUUGUCCUGAUAUGUUGAUAAUUAAAUUAUAAAUCAAACUAUCUUUCAGUACCCGACAUUAAUUUCCUCUCUCUCUCUCUCUCUCUGCAUUCACAGUGCCAUCUGUUGAGGUGCAACCUGGCUUCUCUCCGACAGUCUCCUGGGGUUACGACGGAGAGGAAAGCGCCACACGUCCUGUCUAUUUUUCCCAUAAAGCACGAGUAGUUUAUCGCCACCAGAUGGAAGGCAAUAUUAUUGACGCCACCUGCUGACCUCUGGGCUUCUUUCCCAGAAUCUCUUGCCUUGUACCUGGCUGUAGACGUCCAGUGUAGAGGAGCGUUGUAGGAGCCUGUUCCAUCAUGUGUAAUCAAACUAAAUAUUUUGUAUUUAGUAAAGAUGUCACAGUGUUUCCUCUGGUUGCUCCACCCUCUUGCCAGACCAUUCACCUGUCUUGUUCUUACUGUGUUGAAAUAUAAUAUAAUGUUUCAAGGGAGACAGAGUGUGCAGGCCACAUGGAAUGGAAAAACAGGAACUGAGCUGGAUUUUUUAAAUACAAAUGUAAUGUAUAUGUGUUUUGUCGCGCAAAUCUGAUCCUGGAUGUAUGAUUGCCUGUUGUUUUUCAGACGACAAACCACAGUUGGUUUUUCAGAGGUUUAUGAAUGCAUUUCAGACAAAAGAAAACAUUUUGUACUAAUGACUGGAAUUAUAAUAUAAAAUGUAUGUACAUUUAGUAAUUAUCGUGAUAUAUUUUGAGUAUAAAAAGUAGUUUGAGUAUUGAAUAAAAUUGUUUAAAUAUAUAAACAUGUUUAUUUUUAAUAUUUGUCUCAUUUAAAUGUGAUGAAAUGUGUGUAAUUGUCAUACAAAACAAUUCCCUAUUUGUACAAAAAGGCUUUAUUUUCUUUGUGCAAAAUAUAAAUUCUUAUUUAUUUUGGCUUGGGAGCAAAAUAUGAACUAGACAUGUUAUUGACAGACUUCCCCACUAUUUAAUUUUCAGUUUGAGGGUGUUUUGCUACAUAAAUAGAUAUGCAAAGGACUAAAUCAGCCAUAUAAUUCAACUUUAAGACUAAUUAGGGCAAAAUAAAAGGCAGCUAUGGUGUACCCAUCUAUAAUAUGUCAUGUAAAAUAGCAAGUUUGAUAACAUACGAAAAUCUCACCAAACAAAAUCAUCUGUUUUUAUAUUGUACUAAUGAAAUUAUUAAAUUAUAUUAUCUGGAACAUGUUUAAUUUGUAUAACAUAUUUUUUUCUACCC